GAGUUUAAUCUUGGCUCAGAGUGAACGCUGGCGGCAGGCCUAACACAUGCAAGUCGAGCGGCAGCGCGGGGCAACCUGGCGGCGAGCGGCGGACGGGUGAGGAAUACAUCGGAAUCUACCCAGUCGUGGGGGAUAACGUAGGGAAACUUACGCUAAUACCGCAUACGACCUGAGGGUGAAAGCAGGGGACCGCAAGGCCUUGCGCGAUUGGAUGAGCCGAUGUCCGAUUAGCUAGUUGGUGAGGUAAAGGCUCACCAAGGCGACGAUCGGUAGCUGGUCUGAGAGGAUGAUCAGCCACACUGGAACUGAGACACGGUCCAGACUCCUACGGGAGGCAGCAGUGGGGAAUAUUGGACAAUGGGCGCAAGCCUGAUCCAGCCAUGCCGCGUGUGUGAAGAAGGCCUUCGGUUGUAAG
Molecule: ribosomal RNA, 415 nt
Filed under: uncultured Gammaproteobacteria bacterium
Lineage: Bacteria; Pseudomonadati; Pseudomonadota; Gammaproteobacteria
Description: bacterial SSU rRNA
Rfam family: Bacterial small subunit ribosomal RNA
Source: RNAcentral